GGACUGCAAGAGAGGGGCGUAACUGGAAGGAGGCGUAACUUGAAGAAAGGGGCGUAACUUGAAGUUGUCCAAAUCACACAGAACCACGCGAGAUGUCAAAACGAGAUGUUAUUGGCAAGAUGGCCGCUUGUAUAUUGACAAGGGACAGAUGAGACACACGAGUGUAUAUCCGGUGCAGAGUGACUGAUGAAGGAAUGCUGCCAUCAAAGACUCUCAAUCUUUUGUGGUGGAGCAGGACCUGCAAGACAAGGUGACAGCGACAUUUGUGGAAAAAGGAAAACCUGAAACAAAAGGAUAAAGGACCUACAAUCCCCUGGAUCAACCUGGAGAAAAGAGCCUUGCUGAAGGACACACCGGUGACAAACCAGCAACCUUCUGCUGACCAGUUCAGUGGUUUAGCCCACUACAGAAGUAGUCAUGCUCAUGGAGAGCAGCACACGAAUGUUUGAAGCAGACACAGAUUAUCCCGCACAUGUUCUCCUGCUCUUGCCUCAAGGUUGUGUGGUUCAGGGGUGUCAUCAUGGUCUUCCUCAUCCUCUGGGUCAACGAUGUCCGCAUUGAGAAGAGCAAGGUUGUGAAGCACAGCGCAGCUGCAGAACUGGCUCAGCUGUGUUGAGAUGACUGUAGGAUGUGGGUUCACCGUCUGUAAAAACAUGAUUGUUAGAACAAUAAGUUUGAAUGAAGCUUUGUUUCAUCUGUUGUUGACUUGUAUAUUGUAUGUAUUUAUUGUGAUGCUUCCUUUUAUUCAUUCUUAUACUUAUUUAUUCAUGUUUCUUAUUGUUGUCAUUAAAUAAAAUAUAUUUUAAUGUAUUAAUUGCUUGACUGAAAAUUGAUGUAUUCACUUCGACUGCAUUUGUUCAACUAGUGUAUAUUCAUGUAUAGCCAUGUCAC
Onychostoma macrolepis is the source of this 891-nucleotide long non-coding RNA. RefSeq lists it as uncharacterized. The record is from RefSeq and is a predicted model, not a curated record. The transcript has 5 exons. Lineage: Eukaryota; Metazoa; Chordata; Actinopteri; Cypriniformes; Cyprinidae.